GUUAUGCACCUGGAAUAGGGCAAAAGGGAGGAGCGACACCCAGUCCCCGCCAGUCUCCAUGGUCAAUUUAGUUAGGGUCUCUUUUAGAGUUCUAUUCAUUCUUUCUACCUGUCCUGAGCUAUGGGGUCUAUAUGCACAAUGUAACUUCCAGUUGGCCCCAAGCACUGAAGCUAAAUUCUGAAUUACCUUAGACACAAAGGCUCGUCCAUUGUCUGAGCCUAUCUGGGUCUGGAGGCCAUACCUGGGCAAGAUGUCUUCCAGCAGCUUCUUAGCCACCACCUGGACUGU
Long non-coding RNA from Perognathus longimembris pacificus (Pacific pocket mouse), 288 nucleotides. RefSeq lists it as uncharacterized. The record is from RefSeq and is a predicted model, not a curated record. The transcript is spliced from 3 exons. NCBI's taxonomy places the organism in Eukaryota, Metazoa, Chordata, Mammalia, Rodentia, Heteromyidae.